This 4539-nucleotide ribosomal RNA is filed under the name Triticum aestivum (bread wheat). RNAcentral's name for it is "partial small subunit ribosomal RNA". The record is from RNAcentral. Lineage: Eukaryota; Viridiplantae; Streptophyta; Magnoliopsida; Poales; Poaceae.
AUGGCGACGUCGGUGCAGUGGACAGAUCUCCCUAACGAUCUCCUCCACGUGCUCUUUGUUAGGGUCGGAGGCUUGCUCCACCGCGUCCGCUUUGCCGCGGUUUGCAGGCCAUGGCGGGCCGCCGCGAGGCACGCCGGGCUGCCCACCCUGCCGUGGCUCAUCUUCAACUAUGGCCUGGACGACAAGUACUGCAACAUGAGGAGGGUAUACUGCCCCGAGGACGACGGAUUCCUACACUUCCCGCUGCCCAAGGCGCUCAUCGGCAAGACGUUUGCGGGAGCGCACGACGGCGGCUGGGUCGCUGCGCUUGGCGAUGACACACAUCUUGCGAUCGUGAACCUCUUCUCCGGCGCCGAGGUGCCUCUCCAUGCAAAGGACAUGACGACAUUCUACGCGUACAAGAAGGUUAUAUUCUCAGAGUCCCCCACCUCAAGUGGCUGCAUCCUCGCCACCAUCACCACCCGAGCUAGUGUCGCCCUCUGCAGGAUUGGUUGUCCAGCCAAAAGAUGGACGGCCAAAAUAUUUAAUGGGCCACGGCUUAUGGACAUUGUAUUCUACAAUGGAAAACUCUAUGCCCUCACCAACUUGGAGGACCUGAUCAAAUUCAAAAUAGGUGUAAACAAAGAUGGCCGGCCGGUGGUAACUGUCGAGCUGCAUAUGCAAAUUGGUAGCCAACCUCUCAGGCGGGCAAUUAACAUUGUUGAGUUGCACGGCAAGCUGGCUAUGGUGGUGAAACAUUGUUUUUAUGACAACACCUACCGCAAGCGCUUCUUUUUCAAAAUUUAUGUGCUUGUUGAGAAGCCGACUAAAGAGAACACUCUCACCCUCGAGUCGGAGGAGGUAACAACCUUGGGUGAUUGCGCCUUGUUUUUUGGGAGAAUGUGGACCAAGGCGUUGUGUGUGCCGGCGGCUGGGUGCGGUGGGGUGCAAAGAGGUGCCAUCUACGCCGACGAUGUGACGUACUUGACGAGUUUCGACGGCCAUGGUGAUUGUGUAUUUCCUAUGGGAAACGAAAGGAGUGAGCACGCCAUCAAAUUUGUAGGACCUUAUUCAUGUUGUCACGUUCCAUGUGGCAUGAGGCCGUACGCCUUGUUCCUCCUCCUCCUGCUCCUCUUCGUAAACCUUUUUCCUCGGGCGGCCAUGGGUUAUCCGUGCGAGCAAGCACUCGCGAUUACAAUGCCAUGCACGGGAGGUGCAGCAAUUCCUGAUGACAUCCUGCUCCACAUCUUCAUGCGCUUGCCGGCGAGGUCGAUCGGCCGCUGCCGCUGCCUCUCGCGCGCCUGGGCCGCCACGCUCGCUCCCUCGGAUGACUUCACCGACCGCCACUUCCGCGCCGCCAACCGCCUCCCCAGCCUCUUCAUCCUCCCAGUCCCCUCCGCAGGCGUCACCAUCGUGCACGCCUGGUCUCCCGACCAGCCCCGUGGCACAUCGCUCGUUGCCUUCCCGCGCCGCCCCAUGCGCAACGCCGGCACCCGUCCCUGCCGGGGCCUUGUGGUCAUGGAGGAGGAGUAUCCGCCCGCUAGGGCGGGUGACGGAGCCGUCUACUAUGUCUGGAACCCGUCCACCGGUCAGAUGACGGUGCUACCGAAGGGCCGGCCGUUGCCGCUGCAGCCCAGCGGGUAUGCGGCCAGGGAUCCCAAGUGCUACGACAACUUCGGGAUUGGCUACGACGAGGUGAGCGGCAGGUUCAAGGUGGUUCGCCUCUGCCGCUACAACGAGUAUCUCAAUGCGGAUUGCGACGUCUACGUGGUCGACGACGCGUUCUGUUGGCGACCGGCGGCGGGCGAUGCCGAGCUACCGGAGGAGGCUGGAUACAUAAGUUCGUACGAGGCGAGCGUGUCCGCGCAGGGUCACCUUUCUUGGAUGUCUGAGGCGGAGGGCAUGUUCAAGGAGAAGCAUGUUAUCUCCUUCUCCCUCUCUGAUGAGAAAUUCGAGGUGAUCUACGCGCCCCGCUAUAGAGAUUACAGCCUCACGGAGCUUGAGGGACGUGCAUGCCUCUUCUCCUCCAUCUCCGAUGUGGACCAGAAGUGCUACGACAUCUGGCUGCUACGUGACAACGAGGCGUGGGACCUGUGCUGCCGCAUUGACCUGGCCUCGGCGACCCCGGAGGUGAGGCGGUUCAUGGCUUGCCGGGUCAGGCCACUCGCAUUCAUCGACGGUGGCCGCCGCAUCAUGUUCUGGCCGGGGGUCCAAUCCACGAAGGACUCUAAGCCCGUCCACCAGCUCUGCACUUACAUCCCUGCCAGCGGGGCCAUUGAGGAGCUCCUUGCCGACGGGUGCCUGGUCGCCCAGCCCAGCGAGAACGGCCAUGCAACAUCAAGGGCACUGGUGUACGAGGAGAGCCUGAUCUCCACGGGGCGGCCACACGAGGACAUCCUCUUCUCGUCGGCGUCAACACGCGCCCUGUGCAUAGCCCUGCAACGUCUGCCAGCGGCCAUCCUCGGGCAGCUCAAGCUAAUUAAGGAGAGGCCCCUGGUAAAUGGCUUGGCAAAUGCAUAUAUCAUACGGGGUCACCAAGGAUGCUCUAGAUCUGGUAAUGGAACUGCAAAUAGGAGUGGCAGCGGCAACCAUGAUGCAAGUGCAAGUGGUUCCCAAAGAUCUUGGAAAGAAAUGCCACAUGAAGAACUAAGGAUAUCAAGAUGCUUUUGGAUGUAUGCAAGCUUGGAGCUGCUGUUUUAUAGUAGGACCGGCAUGGGGUACGACGAGGUGACGGAGGAGCAUGUCCUGGUCACUAUGGUCAAUGCUAGCCAUGGAUGUAGCGGGGCAAUGGAAUGCCACCUGUGGCAGCUCAAGGAAGACGUGAGGAGAAUAGUGCCAUCACCAUUGUUGAUCCGUGUGCGGCUUGAAUUGCCGCCGAUCUACGUCAAUGGCAAGAUGUACUGGAUGGGCGAGCCGUCGGAUCAGGACAACCAGAGCACCGACAGUUGGCAUGACAUGAUCAUGGCCCUUGACAUCCACACCGAGUCUUUCGAGGUGUUGUCGGUGCCACACGUCGAUGACAGCUGCAGGAUGCUCGUGGUGGAGCUUGCCGGGCGGCUCUGCGUGGCGCACCCAUGUGCCCACACAGAGAGCAUGACCAUAUGGAGCAAGAACAACAAGCCGGAGCUGGUCGACAACAAAUGCAGUGACGAGGGAUGGGAGGAAGGAUGGACAAGGGAGCAUGUGAUAGAGCUCUGGCGUUGGCCGGAGUUUUCCCCGAAGACAGCGGCAGGGCUGAUUGUUCCGAUAGAGGUCGAUGCCGUGGGGGAUGGGCAGAUCUUGCUGGACACGGGGAGAGAGGUGGGGCUGUAUGAUCUGAGGGAGCAAACGAUGCACACGGUGUACUCACUCAAGUGGCGGCAUGGUGAGCGCGCCGGCAAGUUCGUUGCGGUGGCGCAGUGGGAGGACAGCAUGGUGCCUCCUCCACCCAUGCGAUGCGAACCGGAGCGGUGGUACAGAGACUGGACCGAUCUUCCUGAUGAUCUCCUCCAUCUCGUCUACCUCAAGGUCGGCGGCUUGCUCCACCGCCUACGCUUCGCUGCGGUAUCUAGGUCAUGGCGAGCCGCUGCGAUCGCAUCGAAGCACGCCGUGCCGCCCACCCUGCCAUGGCUGCUCUUCUCCUCCUUACACGGUGACGAUGGCAAGACAAUGCGCCUAUACUACCCCGAGGACGGAGGGGUCCUGCACAUCCGGCCCAAAAACGAGGCGCUCAUCGGCAAGCGGCUAGUCGGAGCACACGACGGCGGCUGGGUCGCCGCGCUUGGGGAUGACAUGCAACUUGUGGUUGUGAACCUCUUCUCCGGUGUUGAGGUGCCGCUUCACGCAAAGAACAUGAGGAAGGUCUACACGGGCGCGAAGAUUGUCUUCUCGGAAUCCCCCAAGUCAGGUGAGUGCAUCCUCGCCACCAUCACCCCCCGAAGAAGCGUCGCCCUAUGCAAGAUUGGUUGUCGAGCCGACAGAUGGACGGCAAAAAUAUUUAGCGGGCCCAUGCUUGCGGACAUUAUAUUCUACAAUGGAAAACUCUAUGGCCUCACCCGCUCCUACAACCUGAUCAAAUUCAACAUAGGCUUGAACAAACACGGCAGACCGGUGGCCACCAUUGACGUCGAGCUGCAUAUCCGGAUUGGUUCCCAACCUUCUUUUGUAUGUCAUAAAAGCAUUGUUGAGCUGCAUGGUACGCUGGCGUUGGUGUUGAGGAUAAAUCCAUCAUAUGGCACCAAGUGUGAGCCUUUCUUCAAGGUUUUCGUGCUUGCUGACGAAUCAAUGACAAAGUACACUCAUAAGUGGGAGGAGGUAACGAGCUUGGAUGACUGCGCCUUGUUUUUGGGGAAAAUGUCCAAGGCGGUUGACGUGCGAGCGGUUGGACGUGGCGGGGUGGAGAGAGGCCACAUUUACGCAGAUGAUAUGACGUACUUGACAAGUUUGGAUGGCCAUGGUAGCCGUGUAUACCCUAUGCAAGACGAAAGUAUUUACAACGUCCCACGGAGGAUCAAAUCAGCAGGAUCUUAUGUAGCUGCCGGUGCUCCAACUGGCAUGUGGGUACUCCCUCCUGAUAUCUAG